Long non-coding RNA from Mastomys coucha (southern multimammate mouse), 1000 nucleotides. RefSeq lists it as uncharacterized. The transcript is spliced from 2 exons. NCBI's taxonomy places the organism in Eukaryota, Metazoa, Chordata, Mammalia, Rodentia, Muridae. The record is from RefSeq and is a predicted model, not a curated record.
AUAGAGAGAAGCACACUAAAGAAUUUUGGUAGUGUUCCAGCAGCUUCUGGAGCGACCUGCCAUUGCUGAAUUGUGAAUGGUGUUUGCGAGUGGAUCGGGCUGCCUCUGCUGAUUCAUGUGAACUGAACUGCUAAUAUCCUGACAAUGCAGACUGGACUCACUCCAAAGAACUAUUUCUAAACAGGAUAGACCUUCCCACUUCAGUUAACCUGGCUGGAAGGUCCACCCGGCAGACAUGACCAAGCUGAACAACUGUGGGGCACUAAGAGCCAUUCAGUGAACAAUCAUGGAACUGUGAAGGUCAUUUGUCAUGUUGAGAAGGUGGGUGUUUAGAGUCAUAAUAUUUGUUCUGUGUGCACAUGUGGGGUUCCUAUUUAAUAAUGAUUUUACAUUUUGAGAGCAGUUUUAAGUUCACAACAAAAAUGAGGAGAAAAUACACAAUCUGAUACAGAUCCUUCUGCCCCGGUACAGCCCACCCCUCUAUCCACAUCCCCUAAGAGGAGAGUGUUAGUUUACUACAUCAAUAUACUGUGACGGUGAUGCAUCGUAGUCUCUCAGUCCGCCGAAGACACUCGGGUCACUGGCGCAGUCCAUUUCAUGAGUCUGGUAAUUGCUGUCUACCACAGUACUCAUGUUCCGUUUCCACUCAGUUGCCAGUACUCUCUGCUCAGCUCGCUCGUCCAUUCUCUGCCGCAACACCUGAAAUGUUUGCGCUCUGAGGUUUCGCCUUGUCCAUCUGGAAUCCUGCGGUGCAUUUGCUCUCUGAGGUUUCGCCUUGUCCAUCUGGAAUCAUGCGGUGCAGUCUUUGAAGAUUUGCUUCCUUCGAUUAGAAUUCAGCUAAGGCUCUUCCUCAGCACGUCACCGCAUCUGAAGCCCUUUCCUUUUUCAGUGUCGACUAAUCUUCCGUCACACGGAUGUACAAGUUGCCUUUUCCAUUUAUCUGCUGAAGGACAUCUUUGUGGCUUCCAACAUUUUAUGCUUAUAAAAAGGCUGCUAUCAU